Molecule: ribosomal RNA, 253 nt
Filed under: uncultured bacterium
Lineage: Bacteria
Description: partial 16S ribosomal RNA
Rfam family: Bacterial small subunit ribosomal RNA
Source: RNAcentral
GACAGAGGUGCCGAGCGUUAGGCGGAAUCACUGGGCUUAAAGCGUGUGUAGGCGGGGCGUUAAGUGUCUUGUGAAAUCCCACGGCUCACCCGUGGAACUGCUCGGUAUACUGGUCGUCUUGAGCCUUCUAGGGGCGAGUGGAACAAAUGGUGGAGCGGUGAAAUGCGUAGAUAUCAUUUGGAACGCCAAUGGUGAAAACAACUCGCUGGGGAAGUGCUGACGCUGAGACACGAAAGCCAGGGGAGCGAACGGG